Molecule: ribosomal RNA, 492 nt
Filed under: uncultured bacterium
Lineage: Bacteria
Description: partial 16S ribosomal RNA
Rfam family: Bacterial small subunit ribosomal RNA
Source: RNAcentral
AGUGAACGCUGGCGGUAGGCCUAACACAUGCAAGUCGAACGGCAGCACAGUAAGAGCUUGCUCUUACGGGUGGCGAGUGGCGGACGGGUGAGGAAUACAUCGGAAUCUACUUUUUCGUGGGGGAUAACGUAGGGAGACUUACGCUAAUACCGCAUACGACCUACGGGUGAAAGCAGGGGAUCUUCGGACCUUGCGCGAUUGAAUGAGCCGAUGUCGGAUUAGCUAGUUGGCGGGGUAAAGGCCCACCAAGGCGACGAUCCGUAGCUGGUCUGAGAGGAUGAUCAGCCACACUGGAACUGAGACACGGUCCAGACUCCUACGGGAGGCAGCAGUGGGGAAUAUUGGACAAUAGGCGCAAGCCUGAUCCAGCCAUACCGCGUGGGUGAAGAAGGCCUUCGGGUUGUAAAGCCCUUUUGUUGGGAAAGAAAAGCAGCAGGUUAAUACCCCGCUGUUCUGACGGUACCCAAAGAAUAAGCACCGGCUAACUUCGUG